This is a long non-coding RNA of Fukomys damarensis (Damara mole-rat), 370 nucleotides long. RefSeq lists it as uncharacterized. The record is from RefSeq and is a predicted model, not a curated record. NCBI's taxonomy places the organism in Eukaryota, Metazoa, Chordata, Mammalia, Rodentia, Bathyergidae. The transcript has 4 exons.
UGGACUCCAACAGCUCUAAUUUGGAUCUUGUCUCUUAAUUUUGGAUAUUGAGUGAUCAACUGAAGAUGAGGUCACUAGCACCGGCCCUAAUCUAAUCUGACUGUUCUUCUAAAAGGGGAAAAUUUGGACAAAGACAUACACAGGAAGAAUGCCAUGUAAUGGUGAAGGCAGAGCAGGAAAUAUCACUGCAGGUAGUUUGAUCUCAAAUUGUCAGCCUCCAGGACCACAACACUAAAUUUCUGUCGUCUAAACCACAAGACUUGAUAAAGAUGUGAUGACUGGAGCUGCAUUGGCUAUUUUAAAGCCAGUACGUAAAGACUGAGCUAAAGAGACACUCGGACUUAGUUGAGCUUUUGAGACGUUACUAGCA